GGUGGUGCAUGGUUGUCGUCAGCUCGUGUCGUGAGAUGUUGGUUAAAGUCCCGCAACGAGCGCAACCUUUAUGCUUAGUUGCCAGCAGGUCAAGCUGGGCACUCUAAGCAGACUGCCGGUGACAAACCGGAGGAAGGUGGGGAUGACGUCAAAUCAUCAUGCCCCUUAUGACCUGGGCUACACACGUACUACAAUGGCCGGUACAACGGGAAGCGAAGCCGCGAGGUGGAGCCAAUCCUAGAAAAGCCGGUCUCAGUUCGGAUUGUAGGCUGCAACUCGCCUACAUGAAGUCGGAAUUGCUAGUAAUCGCGGAUCAGCAUGCCGCGGUGAAUACGUUCCCGGGUCUUGUACACACCGCCCGUCACACCACGAGAGUUUACAACACCCGAAGUCGGUGAGGUAACCGCAAGGAGCCAGCCGCCGAAGGUGGGGUAGAUGAUUGGGGUGAAGUCGUAACAAGGUAACCGUAA
This 470-nucleotide ribosomal RNA is filed under the name uncultured Paenibacillus sp. RNAcentral describes it as "bacterial SSU rRNA". It matches the Rfam family "Bacterial small subunit ribosomal RNA", at positions 1037 to 1505 of the family's 1533-position model. The record is from RNAcentral. Lineage: Bacteria; Bacillati; Bacillota; Bacilli; Caryophanales; Paenibacillaceae.